GGGGAUUUAGCUUAGUGGUAGAGCGCUUGCCUAGCAAGCGCAAGGCCCUGGGUUCAGUCCCCAGCUCCCCCC
Molecule: transfer RNA, 72 nt
Filed under: Rattus norvegicus (Norway rat)
Lineage: Eukaryota; Metazoa; Chordata; Mammalia; Rodentia; Muridae
Rfam family: tRNA
About the family: Transfer RNA (tRNA) molecules are approximately 80 nucleotides in length. Their secondary structure includes four short double-helical elements and three loops (D, anti-codon, and T loops).
Source: Rfam by way of RNAcentral